This 681-nucleotide ribosomal RNA is filed under the name bacterium L7. RNAcentral describes it as "bacterial SSU rRNA". It matches the Rfam family "Bacterial small subunit ribosomal RNA", at positions 35 to 720 of the family's 1533-position model. The record is from RNAcentral.
GUUGGCCGGAUACACUCGACGUACUCGUAGAACGAGCAGAGCUGCUACAUGACUGACGACGGCGGACGGGUGAGUAUGCAUGAAACUGCCCAGUAGUGGGGGAUAGCCCGGGGAAACCCGGAUUAAUACCGCGUACGCCCUUCGGGGGAAAGCAGGGGAUCUUCGGACCUUGCGCUAUUGGAUGUGCCUAUGUCGGAUUAGCUAGUUGGUGGGGUAAAGGCCUACCAAGGCGACGAUCCGUAGCUGGUCUGAGAGGAUGAUCAGCCACAUCGGGACUGAGACACGGCCCGAACUCCUACGGGAGGCAGCAGUGGGGAAUAUUGGACAAUGGGGGCAACCCUGAUCCAGCCAUGCCGCGUGUGUGAAGAAGGCUUUCGGGUUGUAAAGCACUUUCAGUAAGGAGGAAAACCUUGAUGCUAAUACCCAUGAGGCUUGACGUUACCUACAGAAGAAGCACCGGCUAACUCCGUGCCAGCAGCCGCGGUAAUACGGAGGGUGCAAGCGUUAAUCGGAAUUACUGGGCGUAAAGCGCGCGUAGGUGGUUUGAUAAGCGAGAUGUGAAAGCCCCGGGCUUAACCUGGGAACGGCAUUUCGAACUGUCAGGCUAGAGUAUGGUAGAGGGUAGUGGAAUUUCCUGUGUAGCGGUGAAAUGCGUAGAUAUAGGAGACACCAGUGGCGAAG